This is a non-coding RNA of Schistosoma haematobium, 46 nucleotides long. The record is from Rfam. NCBI's taxonomy places the organism in Eukaryota, Metazoa, Platyhelminthes, Trematoda, Strigeidida, Schistosomatidae.
GCACUGUCGAUGAGUCCCAUACCAGGACGAAACGGCCGUCCAGUGC